UACGGGGGGGGUAAGCGUUGUUCGGAAUUACUGGGCGUAAAGGGCGCGUAGGCGGCCGUCUAAGUCGAACGUGAAAUCCCCGGGCUCAACCCGGGAACUGCGUCCGAGACUGGAAGGCUCGAAUCCGGGAGAGGGAUGUGGAAUUCCAGGUGUAGCGGUGAAAUGCGUAGAUAUCUGGAGGAACAUCGGUGGCGAAGGCGGCAUCCUGGACCGGUAUUGACGCUGAGGCGCGAAAGCCAGGGGAGCAAACGGG
RNAcentral lists this ribosomal RNA (253 nucleotides) under uncultured bacterium. Its description in RNAcentral is "partial 16S ribosomal RNA". It matches the Rfam family "Bacterial small subunit ribosomal RNA", at positions 524 to 776 of the family's 1533-position model. The record is from RNAcentral.